AAGGAAGGACAGAAAUCAGUAAGAACUGCUAAUUCUUAUGCACCGCGGUUAAACUCCGCGGCUUCCUUA
This 69-nucleotide transfer RNA is filed under the name Sarcocheilichthys nigripinnis (rainbow gudgeon). Its description in RNAcentral is "tRNA-Ser". Lineage: Eukaryota; Metazoa; Chordata; Actinopteri; Cypriniformes; Gobionidae. The record is from RNAcentral. RNAcentral also lists the same sequence under 1 other name.